AAGUCGUAACAAGGUUUCCGUAGGUGAACCUGCGGAAGGAUCAUUAACACUCCAAAACUUCUCAUAGCUCUGGGAAACCAGAGUUUAUGAAACCCUAUUCACCUUUAGCGAACCCGGCGGAUGAGAAAGUUGGAGUUUUUCGGCUCCUUUUCUCAUCUUGCUACUUUUUCUUUCGUCCAUUUCUUUUUCAAACCCCAAUCAUAUUUUUUCUUAUCGUCUGACUGGAGGAUUCGUUCGUUCUCGCGAUCGAGCGCAUCUUCCGUUGCUCUCGGCUCUAACCAGCCAAGGCAAUGAAAACUCUGAAAAACAAAAACAAAAAACAACUCUUAGCAACGGAUAUCUUGGUUCUC
Molecule: unclassified non-coding RNA, 350 nt
Filed under: fungal sp.
Lineage: Eukaryota; Fungi
Description: partial internal transcribed spacer region
Rfam family: Eukaryotic small subunit ribosomal RNA (bases 1-46)
Source: RNAcentral